RNAcentral lists this non-coding RNA (154 nucleotides) under human gut metagenome. The record is from RNAcentral.
GUUUGAUGCUGGCGCGGGUAAAAGGGAAUCGGGUGAGAAACCCGGACGAUCCGGUCACUGUGAGCGGGGAGCGGGGUCGAAGGACGCCAUUGUGCGCAUGCAUGAGAAGGCUCGACCCAUGUGAUGAUCCGCGAGUCAGGAAACCUGCUGAAAA